RNAcentral lists this long non-coding RNA (238 nucleotides) under Citrus sinensis (sweet orange). RNAcentral describes it as "long non-coding RNA (CSIN_LNC003176)". Lineage: Eukaryota; Viridiplantae; Streptophyta; Magnoliopsida; Sapindales; Rutaceae. The record is from RNAcentral.
UUUUUUUUUUUUUUUUUUUUUUUUUUUUUUUUUUUUUUUUUUUUUUUUUUUUUUUUUUUUUUUUUUUUUUUUUUUUUUUUUUUUUUUUUUUUUUUUUUUUUUUUUUUUUUUUUUUUUUUUUUUUUUUUUUUUUUUUUUUUUUUUUUGAAAGGGAUUUUUUUGAGAAAACUGAAAUGUCGAAACGGGGAGGCAAUUAAACUGGGAACACAGUCACGACGUCGUAUUAAACUUAAAUUUU